Myotis lucifugus (little brown bat) is the source of this 319-nucleotide long non-coding RNA. RefSeq lists it as uncharacterized. The transcript has 3 exons. NCBI's taxonomy places the organism in Eukaryota, Metazoa, Chordata, Mammalia, Chiroptera, Vespertilionidae. The record is from RefSeq and is a predicted model, not a curated record.
AGAAAAUGUUAAACCUUAAUGUCUUCCUACGUUAAUUGACCAAGGUCAAAGGAUUUCAGCCUGUCUUUGGAAAUGCAAUCAUGGAGAUGAUCAAAACAAUGGAGAAGAACACAGUAUUUGUCCUCAACAGACUGUCCAUGAAAGGCAAAUAGGACACAGCUUCUCAGCGUCUGCCUGUCAGACUUCUUGGCCGUCUGGCUGGAAAAGUUGUGCAGUUCUCAGGAGUUCCUGCGAGGCUGGCUCCAAAGAUCCCUCACCUCUCCACACAGACACAGGGAGCAGCGAGCAGGCCUCCGGGCACAGACCAGGUUGGACUGGA